UGCGCAGGCGGUUGAUUAAGUCAGAUGUGAAAUCCCCGGGCUUAACCUGGGAGGUGCAUUUGAGACUGGUCGGCUAGAGUGUGUCAGAGGGGGGUAGAAUUCCACGUGUAGCAGUGAAAUGCGUAGAGAUGUGAAGGAAUACCGAUGGCGAAGGCAGCCCCCUGGGAUAACACUGACGCUCAGGCACGAAAGCGUGGGGAGCAAACA
Molecule: ribosomal RNA, 207 nt
Filed under: uncultured bacterium
Lineage: Bacteria
Description: partial 16S ribosomal RNA
Rfam family: Bacterial small subunit ribosomal RNA
Source: RNAcentral